This 495-nucleotide ribosomal RNA is filed under the name Prototheca blaschkeae. RNAcentral's name for it is "partial 23S ribosomal RNA". It matches the Rfam family "Bacterial large subunit ribosomal RNA", at positions 628 to 1127 of the family's 2925-position model. Lineage: Eukaryota; Viridiplantae; Chlorophyta; Trebouxiophyceae; Chlorellales; Chlorellaceae. The record is from RNAcentral.
UUAAAAAAAGUGGCUUGGUUAAAGAAAAUUCUCUGAAGCCUAAGCGAAAGCAAGUUUAAAAAGCUCUAGUCACUUUUUUUAGACCCGAAACCGAGUGAUCUAUCUAUGAUCAGGGUGAAAGUCUUAAAAAACUGAAGGCCCGAACCGACUAAUGCUGAAAAAUUAGCGGAUGAAUUGUGGAUAGGGGCGAAAAACCAAUCGAACUCGGAGUUAGCUGGUUCUCCCCGAAAUGCGUUUAGGCGCAGCAGUAGUAAAACAAAUAGAGGGGUAAAGCACUGUUUCGUUUGGGGGCUUCGAAAGUUGUACCUCAAUGUGGCAAACUCUGAAUACUCUAUUUUGAUAGCUACUAGUGAGACUUUGGGGGAUAAGCUCCAUAGUCAAAAGGGAAACAGCCCAGAUCACCAGUUAAGGCCCCAAAAUGAAAGUGAUAGUGACUAAGGAUGUGAGUAUGCUAAAACCUCCAGUAGGUUCGCUUAGAAGCAGCAAUCCUUUCAA